CAAAAAAGACUAAACAUACAAUGUUGCCAAGAAACACCACAUACCUUAUGGACAUGAACUAAUAACUUCCGACAGCAGUAGCUAAUUCAUUAUAAGGUUUUAGACAACAUGACUGUCUGAAAUCUGGGAUGCUCAUGUAAUUUCAUGGAGGAAAAUAGAUAAUACUGCAUUCUGUUUUAGAAAUGCAAACUAGCAAGCACUGUGAACAGAGGUAAUCAACAUGUAUCAUUAAAUUAGUACUAGAAAAAACAAUUUACAAUUCAAAUGGUGUUCCUCUUCAACAAUCAUUUGACAUAGCAAAUAUUGGUAUGCAUCAGGAGAUGUUUCUUUAAUUUUGCUAUGAGUAUCAAUGGCAACAGAACGUGUACCACAGCUUGUACAACUUGAAAAUGAUAAUAUGUCUAAGUUUGAAAUGUCUACUUAUAAUGUAGUACACAGUAAACUGUUUUAGCAUUUGGGAGACAAAAUAUAGUCAAAGAGGAACUAAACUUUUCUUAAAAUACACACUGAUUUCAG
Dermochelys coriacea (leatherback sea turtle) is the source of this 516-nucleotide long non-coding RNA. RefSeq lists it as uncharacterized. Lineage: Eukaryota; Metazoa; Chordata; Testudines; Dermochelyidae. The record is from RefSeq and is a predicted model, not a curated record. The transcript has 2 exons.